GACGAACGCUGGCGGCGUGCCUAAUACAUGCAAGUAGAACGCACAGUUUAUACCGUAGCUUGCUACACCAUAGACUGUGAGUUGCGAACGGGUGAGUAACGCGUAGGUAACCUGCCUGGUAGCGGGGGACAACUAUUGGAAACGAUAGCUAAUACCGCAUAAUAUUGAUUAUUGCAUGAUAAUUGAUUGAAAGAUGCUAUUGCAUCACUACCAGAUGGACCUGCGUUGUAUUAGCUAGUAGGUGAGGUAACGGCUCACCUAGGCGACGAUACAUAGCCGACCUGAGAGGGUGAUCGGCCACACUGGGACUGAGACACGGCCCAGACUCCUACGGGAGGCAGCAGUAGGGAAUCUUCGGCAAUGGACGAAAGUCUGACCGAGCAACGCCGCGUGAGUGAAGAAGGUUUUCGGAUCGUAAAGCUCUGUUGUAAGAGAAGAACGGGUGUGAGAGUGGAAAGUUCACACUGUGACGGUAUCUACCAG
RNAcentral lists this ribosomal RNA (483 nucleotides) under Streptococcus gordonii. RNAcentral's name for it is "bacterial SSU rRNA". It matches the Rfam family "Bacterial small subunit ribosomal RNA", at positions 28 to 486 of the family's 1533-position model. Lineage: Bacteria; Bacillati; Bacillota; Bacilli; Lactobacillales; Streptococcaceae. The record is from RNAcentral.